RNAcentral lists this ribosomal RNA (263 nucleotides) under uncultured Staphylococcus sp. RNAcentral's name for it is "partial 16S ribosomal RNA". It matches the Rfam family "Bacterial small subunit ribosomal RNA", at positions 99 to 354 of the family's 1533-position model. The record is from RNAcentral. Lineage: Bacteria; Bacillati; Bacillota; Bacilli; Caryophanales; Staphylococcaceae.
CGGACGGGUGAGUAACACGUGGGUAACCUACCUAUAAGACUGGGACAACUUCGGGAAACCGGAGCUAAUACCGGAUAAGAUAUCGAACCGCAUGGUUCGAUAGUGAAAGAUGGUUUUGCUAUCACUUAUAGAUGGACCCGCGCUGUAUUAGCUAGUUGGUGAGGUAACGGCUCACCAAGGCAACGAUACGUAGCCGACCUGAGAGGGUGAUCGGCCACACUGUAACUGAGACACGGUCCAGACUCCUACGGGAGGCAGCAGAA